RNAcentral lists this non-coding RNA (1619 nucleotides) under Saccharomyces paradoxus. Its description in RNAcentral is "small subunit ribosomal RNA". It matches the Rfam family "Bacterial small subunit ribosomal RNA". The record is from RNAcentral. Lineage: Eukaryota; Fungi; Ascomycota; Saccharomycetes; Saccharomycetales; Saccharomycetaceae.
UAAAGUAUAAAAAUAAGAAUAUGAUGUUGGUUCAGAUUAAGCGCUAAAUAAGGACAUGACACAUGCGAAUCAUACGUUUAUUAUUGAUAAGAUAAUAAAUAUGUGGUGUAAACGUGAGUAAUUUUAUUAGGAAUAUAUGAACUAUAGAAUAAGUUAAAUACUUAAUAAUAAAUUAUAUAAAAAAGUAAUAAUUAUAUAAUAAUAAAGGAUAUAUAUAUAUAUAUUUAUCUAUAGUCAAGCCAAUAAUGGUUUAGGUAGUAGGUUUAUUAAGAGUUAAACCUAGCCAACGAUCCAUAAUCGUUAAUGAAAGUUAGAACGAUCACGUUGACUCUGAAAUAUAGUCAAUAUCUAUAAGAUACAGCAGUGAGGAAUAUUGGACAAUGAUCGAAAGAUUGAUCCAGUUACUUAUUAGGAUGAUAUAUAAAAAAUUAUAUCUAUAAAAGUAUAUAAAUAAUAUAUAUAUAAAUUGAUUAAAAAUAAAAUCCAUAAAUAAUUAAAAUAAUGAUAUUAAUUACCAUAUAAUAAUAAUAUGGAUAUAUAAUAAUUAUAAUAUUAAUUUAUUAUAAUAAAUUAUAUAUUUUAAUAGUCCUGACUAAUAUUUGUGCCAGCAGUCGCGGUAACACAAAGAGGGCGAGCGUUAAUCAUAAUGGUUUAAAGGAUCCGUAGAAUGAAUUAUAUAAUUUAGAGUUAAUAAAUUUAAUUAAAGAAUUAUAAUAGUAAAGAUGAAAUAAUAAUAAUAAUUAUAAGACUAAUAUAUGUGAAAAUAUUAAUUAAAUAUUAACUGACAUUGAGGGAUUAAAACUAGAGUAGCGAAACGGAUUCGAUACCCGUGUAGUUCUAGUAGUAAACUAUGAAUACAAUUAUUUAUAAUAAAUAUAUAUAUAUAUAAAUAAUAAAUGAAAAUGAAAGUAUUCCACCUGAAGAGUACGUUAGCAAUAAUGAAACUCAAAACAAUAGACGGUUACAGACUUAAGCAGUGGAGCAUGUUAUUUAAUUCGAUAAUCCACGACUAACCUUACCAUAUUUUGAAUAUUAUAAUAAUUAUUAUAAAUUAUUAUAUUACAGGCGUUACAUUGUUGUCUUUAGUUCGUGCUGCAAAGUUUUAGAUUAAGUUCAUAAACGAACAAAACUCCAUAUAUAUAAUCUUAAUUAUAUAUAAUUUUAUAUUAUUUAUUAAUAUAAAGAAAGGAAUUAAGACAAAUCAUAAUGAUCCUUAUAAUAUGGGUAAUAGACGUGCUAUAAUAAAAUGAUAAUAAAAUUAUAUAAAAUAUAUAAAAAAAUAUAUUUAAUUAAUAAUAUAAAACAUUUUAACUUUUAAUAUAUUUUUAUAUUAUAUAUUAAUAUGAAUUAUAAUCUGAAAUUCGAUUAUAUGAAAAAAGAAUUGCUAGUAAUACGUAAAUUAGUAUGUUACGGUGAAUAUUCUAACUGUUUCGCACUAAUCACUCAUCACGCGUUGAAACAUAUUAUUAUCUUAUUAUUUAUUAAUAUUUAUAUAAUUAUAUUAUAUAAUUAAUUAAUAUUUAUUUAUAUCAGAAAUAAUAUGAAUUAAUGCGAAGUUGAAAUACAGUUACCGUAGGGGAACCUGCGGUGGGCUUAUAAAUAUCUUAAAUAUUCUUACA